Poecilia reticulata (guppy) is the source of this 245-nucleotide long non-coding RNA. RefSeq lists it as uncharacterized. Lineage: Eukaryota; Metazoa; Chordata; Actinopteri; Cyprinodontiformes; Poeciliidae. The record is from RefSeq and is a predicted model, not a curated record.
GGCUUCUGAAAGCAGAGUGGCAGUCAAGAAAUGAGGAGAGUUUUCUGUACACUUUCACCUGGGCAUUGAGCCAAUGGAGAGUUGGCAUCCCCAUGUACUGAGAAAGCGCCCUCGUUUGCUGAUGACAACUAGGAUUUGUGUAUGUUUGCUGACCAUGCAGAGUCCACGUGGGGAAUUCCAGGGGCAGAGAAAAGGCAAUUUUCUUUCAGCCAAAAAGAUCUGGAAGCGAGACAAGUCUGAAUCCA